GAUGAAGAACGUAGCGAAAUGCGAUAAGUAAUGCGAAUUGCAGAAUUCCAGUGAGUCAUCGAAUCUUUGAACGCACAUUGCGCCCUUUGGUAUUCCGAAGGGCAUGCCUGUUCGAGCGUCAUUAUCACCCCUCAAGCCCUCGGCUUGGUGUUGGACGGUUUGGUGGAGGCCCCCUCGGGGGCUCCUGCCCCUCCCAAAGACAAUGACGGCGGCCUCGUUGGACCCCCGGUACACUGAGUUCUUCACGGGACACGUAUCGGACACAUGGGUUUACGGGACACGGUCUGCCUCCCCUCAGGGAGAAUCUUUCUAAGGUUGACCUCGGAUCAGGUAGGGAUACCGCUGAACUUAAGCAUAUCAAUAAGCGGAGGA
Molecule: unclassified non-coding RNA, 372 nt
Filed under: soil metagenome
Description: partial contains 5.8S ribosomal RNA, internal transcribed spacer 2, and large subunit ribosomal RNA
Rfam family: 5.8S ribosomal RNA (bases 1-121)
Source: RNAcentral